GUGCCAGCCGCCGCGGUAAUACGUAGGCAGCAAACGUUGUUCGGAGUUACUGGGCGUAAAGAGUACGUAGGCGGUUUGCUAAGUUUGGUGUGAAAUCUCCCGGCUUAACUGGGAGGGUGCGCCGAAAACUGGCGAGCUUGAGUGUGGGAGAGGGAAGCGGAAUUCCUGGUGUAGCGGUGAAAUGCGUAGAUAUCAGGAGGAACACCGGUGGUGUAGACGGCUUCCUGGACCACAACUGACGCUGAGGUACGAAAGCGUGGGGAGCAAACAGGAUUAGAAACCCGUGUAGUCC
This 292-nucleotide ribosomal RNA is filed under the name uncultured bacterium. RNAcentral describes it as "partial 16S ribosomal RNA". It matches the Rfam family "Bacterial small subunit ribosomal RNA", at positions 505 to 796 of the family's 1533-position model. The record is from RNAcentral.